GUCCCUGUAGCUCAGUUGGAGAGAGCAUUUGCCUUCUAAGCAAAUGGCCGCGUGUUCGAAUCACGCCAGGGACG
RNAcentral lists this transfer RNA (74 nucleotides) under Candidatus Omnitrophota bacterium. Its description in RNAcentral is "tRNA-Arg". It matches the Rfam family "tRNA". From Rfam's summary of the family: Transfer RNA (tRNA) molecules are approximately 80 nucleotides in length. Their secondary structure includes four short double-helical elements and three loops (D, anti-codon, and T loops). Lineage: Bacteria; Pseudomonadati; Candidatus Omnitrophota. The record is from RNAcentral.